AUACAUUCUUUAUUUGUUUAUUUAUUUACUUAUUUAUUUAUUUGCCUAUUCACCCAUUUCCCUAUUUCAUUUGUGUUAUAUAUUGAGUUAUUUCAGAUCUUGCAUUUUUCUUCCUUUCUUCCUUUAGUCAUUUGUUCAGGCGAUCAACAAUACAUAAAGGAUGAUAGACGGAAUAUUUAGCAGUCACUCCUAAUUGGCUUACGUUUUCUCUCAUAAAGUUACCACUCAACAUUUACCAGUCACUACUAAUUUCAACACAUUUUCUAUCUUUCCUUCUCCUCUACCACCUCCUUCUUCAGUGUAUGAACUAAAUAAAACACUCAACAUUUACAAGAGUCAUCGCUAAUUUUUUAAACAAUUUUUUUUUUCUGUUGUCGUUUUCUUCCACGGCGCGCCACACCGCAGAUUAAGCGACCACAACACAGACACGUGCCACAUUUUUGAACGGUUGAGUCAAUUUAAGUCAUUUUUUACUUCAUUCCUGGUACUUGAGGAGACAACAACAAAGAAAAAAAAAACAAGGAACACAAAGAAAAGAAGGAAACAAACAACAUGGCCACCCGCAACACUAACACAACUCCACAGAAAACGAAGAAACACGAAGAAAACGACAAAGAAAGAGAAACAAAGGAAGAGAAAACGGCAAAACACUCAAACCAAAACAGACCCAACGAAGAAAACGGAGCGGAGCGAACAGAAAACGGGGAAGAGGAGGAGGAGAAUACUGUAUUACUAUUAGGAGAUAGAAAUAAUUUGCAACACGUAAGAGAAAAUGAAUUGAUUGAUUUUACUUGCCACCACCACAAUUACCUGCAUCACGUGACCUGGUGUGGUGGUGGUGGUGGUGGUGGUGAUGUGGUGGUGACAGGGGUGUAUAAAAAUUCUGAUCUUCCUCUUCCUCCUCUUCCUUCUGGUUCCUUCUUCUCUCCUCCUCCUCCUCCUCUUCCUCUCCAUCAUCAUUACAACAUGGGAUAUAGUGGGAGAGAAGAAACGUCAAUAUGGAGAGAAACUGGAGAGAAUGAGAUAGAGGAGGAGGAGAAGGAGGAGGAAGAGGAGGAAGAGGAAGAAGAGCUAGAAGAGGAAGAGGAGAUGACAAGGCGGACAAGAGAGGAAGAAGAGGAGCAUUAUACAACACUGAAUGAAGUGGGAGAAGACCUGAUGGCGUACCAGUUCCUGCUCCGAAUGCACCAGGUAGCCUCCAACAUCACACGCUGCAUCAUCCACAAGUACCUGCAGCCCUGAGGGGGUACGCGGCCCAGGGGGAGGAGGAGGAUGAGGAUAGGAGGAACAGGAGGAGAUGGCUACGAUGAGAAGGAGGAGGAAGAUGAAGAAAAGGGAAAGGAAAGCAAAUGUCAACACAGGAGGAGGAGGAGGAGGA
Long non-coding RNA from Scylla paramamosain (green mud crab), 1378 nucleotides. RefSeq lists it as uncharacterized. NCBI's taxonomy places the organism in Eukaryota, Metazoa, Arthropoda, Malacostraca, Decapoda, Portunidae. The transcript has 4 exons. The record is from RefSeq and is a predicted model, not a curated record.